Long non-coding RNA from Capsella rubella, 792 nucleotides. RefSeq lists it as uncharacterized. Lineage: Eukaryota; Viridiplantae; Streptophyta; Magnoliopsida; Brassicales; Brassicaceae. The record is from RefSeq and is a predicted model, not a curated record. The transcript is spliced from 7 exons.
UCUCAGUCUGGGAAUCGCUGGCGCAAGGGUAUAGCAAUAAAAAUAGAAAAACGCUCUCUUCGUUCUUCUUAGAAUUGCUCUCUACGAAGUAUGCUCCUUGGUUUGAAGGUCGUAGGAAGGCAUGGAGGCUGGAGUCUUAGUGGAGAAAAGGUCAUCGCUUUGUAAACUGAUCCGAUUGUAAAUUGCAGAGCUAGGACAUGCUGCUAGCCUAUUAUUAGUUUAUGCAAUGUCACUGCAUAACUAUAAAUUCAUUCUAGGCCGACAGCCCAUUACUGUUUCAAAACAGCCAAAUUAACGAUGCAAUCCUCUUAACCUAAGCUUCUGUGAAAUAAGGCCUUCAGAGUCUUAGGGUCAAACACGAAUGUCAUAGCUGGGACUUACUGCUCGCCUUUUCCUCUGUAAUAUCUCGGACGUAUGCUUAUUUCUGCCAUGGCACAAAGAAUCCUUUGCAAACUACGCUUUCAUUCUAGGCCAACUCCUUAUAACUGUUUCAAACCGCCAAAAUUAGAAUGCAAUCCUCCUCACCUAAGGUAGACAAAACUACCUACUAAACUGAAUUUCAAUUUAAACCAACACAAGUAAUAAUGCAGCGCUAGGAUGCUCUCUACGGUAAAAGACAUGAAUCUUCUAUGGCGCAAGGCUGCACUCUAUGUCGGACGUAUGCUUAUAACCUGCAAAUUUUUGGAUGCAGUUCUCUUCUUCUGAGGAAUUAGCAUCAACGACAUACCGGCCUAAAACAAUAAUGAAUCGAAUCGGACCAACGGAAUCGGGGAAUCCCGGUUUCGCAUUUAA